Long non-coding RNA from Rhipicephalus sanguineus (brown dog tick), 425 nucleotides. RefSeq lists it as uncharacterized. The transcript has 3 exons. The record is from RefSeq and is a predicted model, not a curated record. Lineage: Eukaryota; Metazoa; Arthropoda; Arachnida; Ixodida; Ixodidae.
UUUCCAAGUGAACAUGUGCAUUGCUGUUGUGUAACGAACAGUGGCGAGAGAUCCUCCUGGCGCCGGCGCUUCCGUGCAUUGCGCGUGCUCGUGUACGUGGGCCUGGCGCUGGGCUUUUUGUACCAGGCUUCGGACGUGGUGGUCAACUACCUGACCUUCCCCACGACCAACGAUGUGCGGGUCGAAGGUCCCGAGCAGCUCAUCAUGCCGGCUGCCUCUGCCUGCAUCAGCAACUGGAUCAGCAAAGAAAAGCUGUGCGCCCGUCAGGUCGAGUUCUGCAACUACACCGAUACCGAAGAAUACAAGCAGCUCCUCUUGCGCUUUCUGGACACAGCCGGCAACUUGGGAGAGCUCGCCAUGGACAGCGAAGUCAUUCUGCAAGUGGUCAUGGAGAACCCCGGCAUGUCCAUCUUUCCCAGCGGUUU